Rhincodon typus (whale shark) is the source of this 743-nucleotide long non-coding RNA. RefSeq lists it as uncharacterized. The transcript is spliced from 4 exons. The record is from RefSeq and is a predicted model, not a curated record. NCBI's taxonomy places the organism in Eukaryota, Metazoa, Chordata, Chondrichthyes, Orectolobiformes, Rhincodontidae.
AAUUUCAGUAUGGGUUGUUCUCUUGUCCUUUCUGUCUUGAUGUGGAGAUGCCGGUGUUGGACUGGAGUGGACAAGAGAAACAUGAUUAUCAACUCUAGUAACAGAGCUAUUCGCAACAUUUCCCUCCUAAGAUUGUAAGGCCGAGAACACAGCGUGGAGUCAUACUGGAAACCGAACUACUGUUUCUAAUAAUUGAGCAUUCACGAAGAGAGAAAGGAAUUUAUACUACAUUGUAUACUUCCUCUCUGGUGUUACCUGUAUUGAGACUACUGCUAAACCAUGCCACAUCAGUGAUCCCUCUCAAUAAGCCGAGAAAAGCCACGGAAUUAUGGACCAGUGAGCCUGACAUCAGUGGAGGAUGUGGCGGUCGUGUUAACCCAGCAGACACCCACUUCCAUAUCCCAAAACGCAGGCACCCUAAUCAGUAUGGAAUGUCAUUACGCAAAAGCUGAUGCUCGCUUGAACGUCUAUUGAUGUCAAUGGCUUCGUGGCCGCGAGCCUCAGAACCUUUUCUAUUCCUAUAUGAGAACAAUCACUCCCAAUUGAGUGGUGGACGGUUUCACCACCAGGCAAUCUGACAACACUCAGUCUUUUGGCCGAUGGGUGAAUCACACGGCCGUGUAAUACGGCGCCUGGCGUUUACACACACUGACUGAGCUGAAUGGAAGGGCUCAACAAAAAUAAAACCCUAAAUGAUUCAGAAUAUAUAUUGGCCUGACAGUUUCUCUAGACCUCUGUCACUA